UUUUGUCUUUUUCUUUAAAAGUGCUUUUAGGGUGUGUUUCUUGUGCAUGCAGGAGACAAUACAUACUAGAAGCAGGAAAAACCAACAACCUUUGUUAGAAGGUCUACCAUACGUGAGGAGGAAGAGACAUCCUUUUUGUGAAAAAUCUCUUUCUCCAGAAGUUACUCCACCUGAGACCAUCGAACCAAAUCUUGAGGAGAUGGCCAAUCAACCUCCUCCCAAACGCACUCUAGGGGAUGCAGCUA
RNAcentral lists this long non-coding RNA (245 nucleotides) under Vigna radiata. RNAcentral describes it as "long non-coding RNA (VRAD_LNC006856)". The record is from RNAcentral. Lineage: Eukaryota; Viridiplantae; Streptophyta; Magnoliopsida; Fabales; Fabaceae.